RNAcentral lists this ribosomal RNA (478 nucleotides) under uncultured organism. RNAcentral describes it as "partial 16S ribosomal RNA". It matches the Rfam family "Bacterial small subunit ribosomal RNA", at positions 331 to 800 of the family's 1533-position model. The record is from RNAcentral.
GUACACUCCUACGGGAGGCAGCAGUGGGGAAUUUUGGACAAUGGGCGAAAGCCUGAUCCAGCCAUGCCGCGUGCAGGAUGAAGGCCUUCGGGUUGUAAACUGCUUUUGUACGGAACGAAACGGCCUUUUCUAAUAAAGAGGGCUAAUGACGGUACCGUAAGAAUAAGCACCGGCUAACUACGUGCCAGCAGCCGCGGUAAUACGUAGGGUGCAAGCGUUAAUCGGAAUUACUGGGCGUAAAGCGUGCGCAGGCGGUUAUGUAAGACAGUUGUGAAAUCCCCGAGCUCAACCUGGGAACUGCAUCUGUGACUGCAUAGCUAGAGUACGGUAGAGGGGGAUGGAAUUCCGCGUGUAGCAGUGAAAUGCGUAGAUAUGCGGAGGAACACCGAUGGCGAAGGCAAUCCCCUGGACCUGUACUGACGCUCAUGCACGAAAGCGUGGGGAGCAAACAGGAUUAGAUACCCUAGUAGUCCCAUGA